AGAACGAACGCUGGCGGCAGGCCUAACACAUGCAAGUCGAACGCGAUCUUCGGAUCGAGUGGCGCACGGGUGAGUAACGCGUGGGAAUCUGCCCUGUGGUACGGAAUAACAUCGGGAAACUGGUGCUAAUACCGUAUAUCCCCUGAGGGGGAAAGAUUUAUCGCCAUGGGAGGAGCCCGCGUAGGAUUAGCUAGUUGGUGAGGUAACGGCUCACCAAGGCGACGAUCCUUAGCUGGUCUGAGAGGAUGAUCAGCCACACUGGGACUGAGAUACGGCCCAGACUCCUACGGGAGGCAGCAGUGGGGAAUAUUGGACAAUGGGGGAAACCCUGAUCCAGCCAUGCCGCGUGUGUGAUGAAGGCCUUCGGGUUGUAAAGCACUUUCGCACGUGACGAUGAUGACGGUAACGUGAGAAGAAGCCCGGCUAACUUCGCGCCAGCAGCCGC
RNAcentral lists this ribosomal RNA (445 nucleotides) under uncultured bacterium. Its description in RNAcentral is "SSU rRNA". It matches the Rfam family "Bacterial small subunit ribosomal RNA", at positions 26 to 518 of the family's 1533-position model. The record is from RNAcentral.